GACAGAGGGGGCAAGCGUUGCUCGGAAUUACUGGGCGUAAAGGGCGUGUAGGCGGGAUGGCAAGUCGGUCGUGAAAUCCCUCGGCUCAACCGAGGAACGUCGAUCGAUACUGCUGUUCUUGAGGAUUGCAGAGGAGACUGGAAUUCCCGGUGUAGCGGUGAAAUGUGUAGAGAUCGGGAGGAACACCGGUGGCGAAGGCGGGUCUCUGGGCAAUUCCUGACGCUGAGGCGCGAAAGCGUGGGGAGCAAACGGG
RNAcentral lists this ribosomal RNA (253 nucleotides) under uncultured bacterium. Its description in RNAcentral is "partial 16S ribosomal RNA". It matches the Rfam family "Bacterial small subunit ribosomal RNA", at positions 524 to 776 of the family's 1533-position model. The record is from RNAcentral.